CCGGCGCGCGGUGCCGGGUGCCCACCGCCCACACUGGGAGGGGCCGGGUCUGCGCCGACGCUGGGGCCGCGACACCGACGGGGCUGUAGGGACAAGAGCGAGGAAGGAAAGGCCACGGUCCCCUCCGAGCGUCCGGUGGGUCCCAAAGGAUGCGGUCCCGGGGGCGGGGACGGCCUCUCCCGGCAAGGCGGCGGGGACUCGGAAUCCCUGUGGGCCUCCCCACCUCUGCUGCCGCAGUGAACAAAGCGCGACCGCGGACCGCAGCCGCCCCCGGGGAGCCUUGAACUUCAUGCUGCUGCUCUGCGCCCCGAGAGGCCGCGCGCGGGGCCCCGGAUGGGGCGGCGGGAAACCGCUGCGCAGGGGCCUAGGCCGGGUCUGGGUCAGAACACUCGGCGCCCGGGUUCCAGGACCGGUGCGGAUGCCGCCCUGCAGCAGCGCCCCGGGAAGGGCAGGGGAAGACGGGGAAGGGGCCUGGCACGCGAGGCCUCCCCGCGCGGCGGGCCCGGACGCUGGCUACACACGGUCACAGCGGCCCCGACCUGCCCGCCCACGCCCUCGGGAUCCUUUUGGCUGGGCACCAGGCGCUACUCCCAGCACGGACGGCCGGGCGCCGGUCCGGAGAUGGCGCCCCUGGCGCAGUUUCCUUCUAGGAACACCAGGAUGACCAGCCAACUGCACAGACCUACUUGAGUCAGACUAUUCAGAUCGCGCUUGGCUCUGGGGUCCGUCGCAGGAGCCACGCCCACCAUGCCUUCAGUGGCUGAGUUCCACCCCAUUACUGCCCAAAGGGGAAGGCACUGGUGCUUUGCAGGUGUGGGCAGGAUAGUUGUGUCCCAUCAGGUGGAACUUCAACCUCAUGAUUAUCUUUAUUUGGAGAUUCAGCAUGGCUUUAGGAGAUGCGUAAGGGGGCCAGGUUGACAAAGGGUAGCCUUGUGAUGGUUAAUUUUAUGUGAUGACUUGACUGGACUGAGGGAUGCCCAGGUAGCUGGGAAACUGGUUCUUGGUGUGUCUGUGAGGAUGGUUCUGGAAGAGAGAAGCAUCUGAAUCUACUUUGAGAUUAGAAUUUGAAUUGAGUAAAGUUGGUUGCCCUCCCCAUCAGGGGUGGCCUCGUCCAGUCAGCCGAGGGAUGGAGCAGAAAACAAAAAAGCAAAGGAAAAACAGUUUCUCCUUGAGCCAUGCUGUCUGUCUUUUCUUGCCCUUGGACAUUGGAGCUCCUGAUUCUGGGGCCUUCGGACUCGGGCACCUACGCCAGCCUCGCCCAUCCCAUGUGCUCCACUCCCUGGUUAUCGGGCCUUCAGCUCUAGCCGGCUGGCAGGUGGCAGACCUUGGGCUCCCAGACCUCCUUAACGGUGUGUCAGUUCCUAUAAUAAAUUUCCUUUUAUGUGUAUCUCUGUA
This is a long non-coding RNA of Manis pentadactyla (Chinese pangolin), 1395 nucleotides long. RefSeq lists it as uncharacterized. The transcript has 2 exons. NCBI's taxonomy places the organism in Eukaryota, Metazoa, Chordata, Mammalia, Pholidota, Manidae. The record is from RefSeq and is a predicted model, not a curated record.